RNAcentral lists this ribosomal RNA (492 nucleotides) under uncultured bacterium. RNAcentral's name for it is "partial 16S ribosomal RNA". It matches the Rfam family "Bacterial small subunit ribosomal RNA", at positions 29 to 507 of the family's 1533-position model. The record is from RNAcentral.
AGUGAACGCUGGCGGUAGGCCUAACACAUGCAAGUCGAACGGCAGCACAGUAAGAGCUUGCUCUUACGGGUAGCGAGUGGCGGACGGGUGAGGAAUACAUCGGAAUCUACUUUUUCGUGGGGGAUAACGUAGGGAAACUUACGCUAAUACCGCAUACGACCUACGGGUGAAAGCAGGGGAUCUUCGGACCUUGCGCGAUUGAAUGAGCCGAUGUCGGAUUAGCUAGUUGGCGGGGUAAAGGCCCACCAAGGCGACGAUCCGUAGCUGGUCUGAGGGGAUGAUCAGCCACACUGGAACUGAGACACGGUCCAGACUCCUACGGGAGGCAGCAGUGGGGAAUAUUGGACAAUGGGCGCAAGCCUGAUCCAGCCAUACCGCGUGGGUGAAGAAGGCCUUCGGGUUGUAAAGCCCUUUUGUUGGGAAAGAAAAGCAGCAGGUUAAUACCCCGCUGUUCUGACGGUACCCAAAGAAUAAGCACCGGCUAACUUCGUG